AUGGGCGGAAGCCUGAUGCAGCAACGCCGCGUGAGGGAUGACGGCCUUCGGGUUGUAAACCUCUUUUAGCAAGGAAGAAGCUUUUGUGACGGUACUUGCAGAAAAAGCGCCGGCUAACUACGUGCCAGCAGCCGCGGUAAUACGUAGGGCGCAAGCGUUAUCCGGAAUUAUUGGGCGUAAAGAGCUCGUAGGCGGUUUGUCGCGUCUGCUGUGAAAUCCCGAGGCUCAACCUCGGGCCUGCAGUGGGUACGGGCAGACUAGAGUGCGGUAGGGGAGAUUGGAAUUCCUGGUGUAGCGGUGGAAUGCGCAGAUAUCAGGAGGAACACCGAUGGCGAAGGCAGAUCUCUGGGCCGUAACUGACGCUGAGGAGCGAAAGGGUGGGGAGCAAACAGGCUUAGAUACCCUGGUAGUCCACCCCGUAAACGUUGGGAACUAGUUGUGGGGUCCUUUCCACGGAUUCCGUGACGCAGCUAACGCAUUAAGUUCCCCGCCUGGGGAGUACGGCCGCAAGGCUAAAACUCAAAGGAAUUGACGGGGACCCGCACAAGCGGCGGAGCAUGCGGAUUAAUUCGAUGCAACGCGAAGAACCUUACCAAGGCUUGACAUACACCAGAACACCCCAGAAAUGGGGGACUCUUUGGACACUGGUGAACAGGUGGUGCAUGGUUGUCGUCAGCUCGUGUCGUGAGAUGUUGGGUUAAGUCCCGCAACGAGCGCAACCCUCGUUCUAUGUUGCCAGCACGUAAUGGUGGGAACUCAUGGGAUACUGCCGGGGUCAACUCGGAGGAAGGUGGGGAUGACGUCAAAUCAUCAUGCCCCUUAUGUCUUGGGCUUCACGCAUGCUACAAUGGCCGGUACAAAGGGCUGCAAUACCGUGAGGUGGAGCGAAUCCCAAAAAGCCGGUCCCAGUUCGGAUUGAGGUCUGCAACUCGACCUCAUGAAGUCGGAGUCGCUAGUAAUCGCAGAUCAGCAACGCUGCGGUGAAUACGUUCCCGGGUCUUGUACACACCGCCCGUCAAGUCAUGAAAGUCGGUAACACCUGAAGCCGGUG
This 1051-nucleotide ribosomal RNA is filed under the name Microbacterium sp. ORG7-25. Its description in RNAcentral is "bacterial SSU rRNA". It matches the Rfam family "Bacterial small subunit ribosomal RNA", at positions 371 to 1432 of the family's 1533-position model. Lineage: Bacteria; Bacillati; Actinomycetota; Actinomycetes; Micrococcales; Microbacteriaceae. The record is from RNAcentral.